This 253-nucleotide ribosomal RNA is filed under the name uncultured bacterium. Its description in RNAcentral is "partial 16S ribosomal RNA". It matches the Rfam family "Bacterial small subunit ribosomal RNA", at positions 524 to 776 of the family's 1533-position model. The record is from RNAcentral.
UACGUAGGGGGCGAGCGUUGUCCGGAUUUAUUGGGCGUAAAGAGCGUGUAGGCGGUUCGGUAAGUCUGUCGUGAAAUCCUGAGGCUCAACCUCGGGCGUGCGAUGGAUACUGCCGGGCUAGAGGGUGGUAGAGGCGAGUGGAAUUCCCGGUGUAGCGGUGAAAUGCGCAGAUAUCUGGAGGAACACCGAUGGCGAAGGCAGAUCUCUGGGCCGUAACUGACGCUGAGGAGCGAAAGCAUGGGGAGCGAACAGG